CAGUAGCCGCGGUAAUACGAAGGGGGCUAGCGUUGCUCGGAAUCACUGGGCGUAAAGGGUGCGUAGGCGGGUCUUUAAGUCAGGGGUGAAAUCCUGGAGCUCAACUCCAGAACUGCCCUUGAUACUGAAGAUCUUGAGUUCGGGAGAGGUGAGUGGAACUGCGAGUGUAGAGGUGAAAUCCGUAGAUAUUCGCAAGAACACCAGUGGCGAAGGCGGCUCACUGGCCCGGUACUGACGCUGAGGCACGAAAGCGUGGGGAGCAAACAGGAUUAGAUACCCCGGUAGUCCCUGUCUCUUAUAC
This 301-nucleotide ribosomal RNA is filed under the name uncultured bacterium. Its description in RNAcentral is "partial 16S ribosomal RNA". It matches the Rfam family "Bacterial small subunit ribosomal RNA", at positions 509 to 807 of the family's 1533-position model. The record is from RNAcentral.